RNAcentral lists this ribosomal RNA (252 nucleotides) under uncultured bacterium. Its description in RNAcentral is "partial 16S ribosomal RNA". It matches the Rfam family "Bacterial small subunit ribosomal RNA", at positions 524 to 776 of the family's 1533-position model. The record is from RNAcentral.
GACGAACCGAGCGAACGUUGUUCGGACUCACUGGGCUUAAAGGGCGCGUAGGCGGGUGAUCAAGUCCGGGGUGAAAUCCUCCAGCUCAACUGGAGAACUGCCUCGGAUACUGUUGCCUCGAGGAAGGUAGGGGUGUGUGGAACGUUCAGUGGAGCGGUGAAAUGCAUUGAUAUUGAACGGAACUCCGGUGGCGAAGGCGACACACUGGACCUUUUCUGGCGCUGAGGCGCGAAAGCUAGGGGAGCAAACGGG